Echeneis naucrates (live sharksucker) is the source of this 2356-nucleotide long non-coding RNA. The record is from Ensembl. Lineage: Eukaryota; Metazoa; Chordata; Actinopteri; Carangiformes; Echeneidae.
CCUCUGUGAGCCCCAGGGGCUGAUGGGAGGUUGGAGGAGGCGUUAGAAACCACGUGACCCCGGUCUGAUCUCACAGCUCGUCCUUGUUUGGCCUCAGCUGCAUCAGAGCUCCACUUCUCCUCAGGUUCCCCAGAGGAAACACCGCUGCACAAAAUGCUUCUCCUCCCAGCUGCUGCUCUGUGCUGUCUGUGUUCAGCCAUGGUUGCCACGGCAGCAGAGGAGCUGAUUCAGGACCAGUUAUCAUUGACCAGGAGAGUUGGUCAGUCAGCCUCUUUCCCCUGUGAAAAUACUCAGGGGUGUUACAAUGAUUAUGUUUACUGGUACCAGAAGAAAGAAACAUUCACUCUGAUUCUGCUUUUUGAUACGAGUACUGGUGCUGUAUAUAAAGGUUAUAAUCAUCCUCAGGAAGAUGAUUUCUCAGCUGUUAAUAUCCAGAACGGCUGUGAGUUGAAGAUCGACAAAGUUAAACUCUCUCAUUCAGCCUCCUACUACUGCAGCUGUCUGAAGCGUGAUCCCCACAGUGAGAAAAGAUCCCUGCAGCCUGAACAAAAACCUUCAGAUGAACUGAUGUCAAACAGUGUUAGUGACAGGAAGACAGCAGGAAACCACAGCCCAGGGUCACAGAUUUCACCUCCAGCUCAGACUCUUGUUCUGGACUCUUCUCUGAUAUUGAUUCAUAUUUGGAUGAGAUAUUUCAGCAGCUUUCCUGUUGGUCCACACAGUGAGGACGAAGAAGACACACAGGAGCACAAUAAGAAAACAAGAGGAGGAACUGAAUGAAUCAAAUCCUGAUGAAGAGACCUGACAGACCUGCUCCACCAGAGUCACAAUGUGGUCCAGGAGGAAGGACCAAAGAAGAAGAGACAGUGAUGUUGAUGUGGACAUCAGCUGAAAUAUGAUCCUGGUUCAUAAUGUGGACUCGUUCAGCUCAGCUGACACAUUCAACAGCAGACAGGUUUUUGUAUCAGUCUCUGUCACUGUGGGAGGAAACUGGUACCUCAUCUUUGGCUCUGGAACUAAACUGUAUGUAACAGAUGAGCCGGUAGUGAAGCCCGUGGUGAGCGUGUACCCGGCAGCAUCCAGAGCCCACCUGGAGGGGAAGAGCUCCCUGCUGUGUCUGGCCUCAGCCAUGUCUCCUCCUCUGGUCCAGUUCUCCUGGAAAAGACAGAAGGAGGACGGUCCUCUGGAGGAGCUGCCCCCUGCCGAGGGAGAGCAGCUGCAGCUCACACAGUUGGGACGGGGACGCUCCGCCGCCAUCUUGACCGUCCGUCAGCCAGAGAGCGCCACGUAUAAAUACAUCUGCUCCGUCAGGCACGAGGGCGGCACAGCGGAGGGCCCGACACAACAAGGUGACCGAUUCAGGCUGACUGAUUCAGCUCCACGUGGAGACGCUGACAUUUCUCACUGCAGCUCCAAACAUUGGACUCCUUUUGUGUUUCAGAGGUUCCAGCUCCAGCAGCCUCCUGUCCUCCAGAGACAGAGCCAGCAGUCCUGGCAGCUCAGCAGCAAGCUGACUGUAAGAUCACCUGCUCCUCACUGGAUCUUAGAGUCUGAGGUCAAAGGUCAGAGACAGUGGACAGACUCUGUGAUUCCUUUUCUGUUGCAGUGCUUCCCCUGGAUCCUCUCCAGCCUCAGAGCAGGGUGAAGCUGCUCUGUCUGCUCUACACAGUGCUGAUAGUGAAGAGUCUGGUGUACUGCUGUGGACUCUCUCUGCUGAUGAGCCUCAGAGACGACGGACCGUCCACCAACUACACUGACUGACUUCAUCUCAGUCAUCACAAUUUUCCCUCCCAUGUAUGUUGUUCUUCACAGCUUAGAUAGAAUCAGCUGCUUCUCACACGUUUCCUUCUUCUUUGUGUUUUUCUCCUCCUGUGUGUCGUGUUAGUGCAGAUUCAGCUGACAGACACUUUCAAUAAAACCAGAUCAGAUCUCACUCUGUCACUUUCUGCAGGUUUUUUAUUGAAAACUUUCUGCAGUUUCAUGAAAACACGACGGUGUGAUUCAUAUAUAUGUUAGACAGUUUCAACUCUGAACUUUACUUUUGUUUUCAUGCUGAAAAUCCAACUUGAAUAAAAAGAUGUGAAUCAAUCUCCAUUUCUGGUCUUUUUGUCUCCAUCACAGAAUGAUCACAUCAGAUUAUUUCAUUGUCAGCAGGAAAACAAUCAACACAUUUUGUGAUGUACAGUUGUGAACAGCCGUGUUAGCAAACGGAGCCCCGACGUGGUCGUGUAUGAAACUGUGACCUACGAAGACGGCUUCUCUUCUCCCGUCGGUCCAAAUCAUUCAGCUUUUUCUCAUUUUGUCGGUCAGUCUCAGGCCACUCUGAAAACACAGCAGCUGAUUCAGAGAGAGGAAG